GUGCUCGCUUCGGUAGCACAUAUACUAAAAUUGGAAAGAUACAGAGAUUAGCAUGGCCUCUGUGCAAAGAUGACACGCAAACUCAUGAAGCGUUCCCUUUUUUU
Molecule: small nuclear RNA, 104 nt
Organism: Phacochoerus africanus (Common warthog)
Lineage: Eukaryota; Metazoa; Chordata; Mammalia; Artiodactyla; Suidae
Source: RefSeq, a predicted model, not a curated record